RNAcentral lists this ribosomal RNA (1390 nucleotides) under uncultured organism. RNAcentral's name for it is "bacterial SSU rRNA". It matches the Rfam family "Bacterial small subunit ribosomal RNA". The record is from RNAcentral.
CAGGAUGAACGCUGGCGGCGUGCCUAAUACAUGCAAGUCGAACGAGAAGCCUGAUUUCGAUUAGGUGGAGAGUGGCGCACGGGUGAGUAACACAUGGCUGACCUGCCCCGCAGCGGGGGACAACCACUGGAAACGGUGGCUAAUACCCCAUGGCUUCACGGCGUUUAGAAGGCGGUGAAGAAAACUGAGGUGCUGUGGGAGGGGGCUGUGGCCCAUCAGCUAGUUGGUAAGGUAACGGCUUACCAAGGCGAGGACGGGUAGGGGGCCUGAGAGGGUGACCCCCCACACGGGCACUGAGACACGGGCCCGACUUCUACGGAAGGCAGCAGUAAGGGAUAUUGCGCAAUGGGCGAAAGCCUGACGCAGCAACGCCGCGUGCGGGAUGACGGCCUUCGGGUUGUAAACCGCUUUUCUGCGUGAAGAGGAAGGACGGUAGCGCAGGAAUAAGUCUCGGCUAACUACGUGCCAGCAGCCGCGGUAAAACGUAGGAGGCGAGCGUUAUCCGGAUUUACUGGGUGUAAAGCGCGUGCAGGCGGCAGCGUAAGUUAGGCGUGAAAGCGCUCAGGCUCAACCGGGCGAGGACGUGUAAAACUGCGUUGCUAGAGGCAGGUAGAGGCGUGUGGAAUUCCGGGUGUAGUGGUGAAAUGCGUAGAGAUCCGGAGGAACACCAGUGGCGAAGGCGACACGCUGGGCCUGACCUGACGCUAAGACGCGAAAGCAUGGGGAGCGAACGGGAUUAGAAACCCCGGUAGUCCAUGCCGUAAACGAUGCUUACUAAGUGUUGCGCCUUAACCGGUGCGGUGCUGAAGCCAACGUGAUAAGUAAGCCACCUGGGGAGUACGGUCGCAAGAUUAAAACUCAAAGGACUUGACGGGGACCCGCACAAGCAGCGGAGCGUGUGGUUUAAUUCGAGGCUACACGAAGAACCUUACCUGGGCUUGACAUGCCAGUGGUAGGAACGUGAAAACGGACCGACCUUCGGGAGCUGGCACAGGUGCUGCAUGGCUGUCGUCAGCUCGUGUCGUGAGAUGUUCGGUUAAGUCCGGUAACGAGCGCAACCCUCGUCGUUAGUUACAGGUGUCUAACGAGACUGCCCGUUGAACGCGGGAGGAAGGUGGGGAUGACGUCAAGUCAGCAUGGCCUUUAUGCCCAGGGCUACACACACGCUACAAUGGCCGGUACAAUGGGUCGCCAACCCGCGAGGGGGAGCCAAUCCAACAAAGCCGGUCUCAGUUCGGAUUGUAGGCUGCAACUCGCCUGCAUGAAGUCGGAGUUGCUAGUAACCGCAGGUCAGCUAUACUGCGGUGAUACGUUCCCGGGUCUUGUACACACCGCCCGUCACGUCAUGGAAGCUGGUCACGCCUGAAGUCGGUGGGCUAACCGCAAGGAG